Molecule: ribosomal RNA, 557 nt
Filed under: uncultured Pseudomonadota bacterium
Lineage: Bacteria; Pseudomonadati; Pseudomonadota
Description: bacterial SSU rRNA
Rfam family: Bacterial small subunit ribosomal RNA
Source: RNAcentral
UGCAGUCGAACGGUAACGCGGGGGCAACCCUGGCGACGAGUGGCGAACGGGUGAGUAAUACAUCGGAACAUAUCCAGUAGCGGGGGAUAACCUAUCGAAAGAUUGGCUAAUACCGCAUACGAUCUACGGAUGAAAGCGGGGGACCGCAAGGCCUCGCACUAUUGGAGUGGCCGAUGUCAGAUUAGGUAGUUGGUGGGGUAAAGGCUCACCAAGCCGACGAUCUGUAGCUGGUCUGAGAGGACGACCAGCCACACUGGAACUGAGACACGGUCCAGACUCCUACGGGAGGCAGCAGUGGGGAAUUUUGGACAAUGGGCGCAAGCCUGAUCCAGCAAUGCCGCGUGCAGGAAGAAGGCCUUCGGGUUGUAAACUGCUUUUGUACGGAACGAAACGACUCUGGUUAAUACCUGGAGUUAAUGACGGUACCGUAAGAAUAAGCACCGGCUAACUACGUGCCAGCAGCCGCGGUAAUACGUAGGGUGCAAGCGUUAAUCGGAAUUACUGGGCGUAAAGCGUGCGCAGGCGGUGAUGUAAGACAGUCGUGAAAUCCCCGGGCU